Molecule: ribosomal RNA, 437 nt
Filed under: uncultured Blautia sp.
Lineage: Bacteria; Bacillati; Bacillota; Clostridia; Lachnospirales; Lachnospiraceae
Description: partial 16S ribosomal RNA
Rfam family: Bacterial small subunit ribosomal RNA
Source: RNAcentral
ACGGAAGGCAGCAGUGGGGAAUAUUGGGCAAUGGGGGAAACCCUGACCCAGCAACGCCGCGUGAAGGAAGAAGGCCUUCGGGUUGUAAACUUCUUUUACCAGGGACGAAGAAAGUGACGGUACCUGGAGAAAAAGCAACGGCUAACUACGUGCCAGCAGCCGCGGUAAUACGUAGGGGGCAAGCGUUAUCCGGAUUUACUGGGUGUAAAGGGAGCGUAGACGGCUUAGCAAGUCUGAUGUGAAAGGCAGGGGCUCAACUCCUGGACUGCAUUGGAAACUGUUAAGCUAGAGUGCCGGAGAGGUAAGCGGAAUUCCUAGUGUAGCGGUGAAAUGCGUAGAUAUUAGGAGGAACACCAGUGGCGAAGGCGGCUUACUGGACGGUAACUGACGUUGAGGCUCGAAAGCGUGGGGAGCAAACAGGAUUAGAUACCCUGGUA